This is a non-coding RNA of Histoplasma capsulatum G186AR, 90 nucleotides long. The record is from the annotation of a RefSeq genome assembly. NCBI's taxonomy places the organism in Eukaryota, Fungi, Ascomycota, Eurotiomycetes, Onygenales, Ajellomycetaceae.
GCAUCAUUGGUCUAGUGGUAGAAUUCAUCGUUGCCAUUCCUUAAUGGGAUCUAACUCGAUGAGGCCCGUGUUCGAUUCACGGAUGAUGCA